Non-coding RNA from Phalacrocorax carbo (great cormorant), 521 nucleotides. Lineage: Eukaryota; Metazoa; Chordata; Aves; Suliformes; Phalacrocoracidae. The record is from RefSeq and is a predicted model, not a curated record.
UACAGUGAGCAGAAAGUGGUGAGGAUAGACUUGCCCAUGAAAUUGAUGAUCUGACUAGCAAGUAGGAUUCCUGCUCACCUUGAUUCCCAAAGCACCUGCUGUACUGAGGAAUUGUGAGAGACUGGACUGUGGAACAUUCGUCUCAAAAGAUUGCUUGUGUGAAAGACUGACCUGUGGACAUUAAAUAUUGCCUGUCUAAGCAAAAAAUUCCAACUGCUGCUGAGCAGCUGCAAGGCCAUGGAAAUCAGGAAUGCAGAGAUGUGCCGUUGCCAUGGAAGCAACCACCAUUAUCAGAAACCGCAGCCCUUGAGCAGAGAUGAAAGGACUGUUGAGACAGGCCCUGGUGCGAUCGCCCACCGCUGAAGCAACAAGAGACUUGGACCCCUGGGACGCCGCAGAUCCUUGGUGGUGACUAUUGUUGCAACUCUCUUCCGAUUGCUUGCUUUAUUUCUGCCCUGUGACGCUAUCCUAUCCCAUCGCUGUUAUUUUUUACUUUUUGAUAAUAAAAGGUAUUUUGAGCA